GCCCCUGCUUAACUGGUUGCCCUCUUACCAAAUGAACAGAGCAAUGUCUUUUUUGCCCUGAUGACCAACGACAUAACCCUUUUGCCCUCUUAUUCUCUGGUUCUCCUCCUCCAGCAUUACGGCUCACUUCUCUUCAUACAAUUCCCACAAUCAAGAACCGAAUUUUGAUCGCAUCCUCCAAGCAAACUGACCUUCCCCAACUCUUCCUCAGCAGAACAACUCAAAUUUUCUGAUAUUUCACACUCCUCCUUCUCCACACAACCAAUUGGCACAGACCCAUCGGCAGUUUAUUCAGACCCACAACCAGUUGGGUCAUACACAUUAAGAAUUGGCCUUUGGCCUUCGCCGCCAUCUUCCUCUCCAAUAGACUCUUCUUCAACCACCUCAACCUUGACCUCCCCUGUUUCUGCCGUAUCAGGGUUUGGUAUAUCCUGAAACCAGACUCAAAAUCCAAGGACGAAUCAACAAACGUGAAGUCUCGGGGAUCAACAGGGGCAGGUGGGUCCUUCGAAUUCUUGGUCCUCUGUCUGGCGUUCGUCUGACAGAUUUCCGAUCUGCGAUUUCUUCCAUCGUUUCUCUUCAGGGUCAAAACGUCUACAAAUGACGAGAAAAAACGAAAACCACCUAUACAGCAGAGCUAGCAAGACCUAGAUCCCCUUCCACUACCCAGUACUAUAUGUAUAAACACCUGUCCAAACUCUUUUGAACAAUGAGAAACUAAAAGUUGCUCAUA
Molecule: non-coding RNA, 733 nt
Organism: Prunus avium (sweet cherry)
Lineage: Eukaryota; Viridiplantae; Streptophyta; Magnoliopsida; Rosales; Rosaceae
Source: RefSeq, a predicted model, not a curated record